GAUGAACGCUGGCGGAGUGCCUAAUACAUGCAAGUCGAACGGUAACAGGCCGCAAGGUGCUGACGAGUGGCGAACGGGUGAGUAAUGCAUCGGAACGUGCCCAGUCGUGGGGGAUAACGCAGCGAAAGCUGCGCUAAUACCGCAUACGAUCUAUGGAUGAAAGCGGGGGACCGUAAGGCCUCGCGCGAUUGGAGCGGCCGAUGUCAGAUUAGGUAGUUGGUGGGGUAAAGGCUCACCAAGCCAACGAUCUGUAGCUGGUCUGAGAGGACGACCAGCCACACUGGGACUGAGACACGGCCCAGACUCCUACGGGAGGCAGCAGUGGGGAAUUUUGGACAAUGGGCGCAAGCCUGAUCCAGCAAUGCCGCGUGCAGGAAGAAGGCCUUCGGGUUGUAAACUGCUUUUGUACGGAACGAAACGGUCUGGGUUAAUACCUCGGGCUAAUGACGGUACCGUAAGAAUAAGCACCGGCUAACUACGUGCCAGCCGCCGCCGUAA
Molecule: ribosomal RNA, 498 nt
Filed under: uncultured bacterium
Lineage: Bacteria
Description: partial 16S ribosomal RNA
Rfam family: Bacterial small subunit ribosomal RNA
Source: RNAcentral